UGUGUGUCUGAAUCUGGAAUGGUCUUU
This 27-nucleotide non-coding RNA is filed under the name Rattus norvegicus (Norway rat). Lineage: Eukaryota; Metazoa; Chordata; Mammalia; Rodentia; Muridae. The record is from RNAcentral.